GGUAAAAACCAUGUGUUUGACCACCAUUUUCAUGCUGACAUGUGCUGCCUUUAUUCAAGGAUCAAGCAGUCUGGUCACUUUGACUCAGACUCCUUCAUUGAAAACUGUCAAUGUAGGAGAAUCAGUGAGUCUGGGAUGCAAACUGAGUCAACCUGCUUCUACUUGUAACAGCAAUCCCUGUGUCUCCUGGUACCAGCAGAAACCAGGAGAAAUUCCUAAACUCCUCAUUUAUUACACAAACAACCUUCAGUCAGGAACUCCAUCGAGGUUUAGUGGCAGUGGGUCUGGGACUGUCGUCACCAUGACCAUCAGGGGAGUCCAGGCUGAGGAUACAGCAGUUUACUACUGUCAGAGUUACCACAGUAUCAAUAGUCAGGAUGUAGUUCUACGUGGUGCAGGGACAGGUGCCCGUAUAACAGUCAUAGAAACAGGUGUCUCUAACUCUGUUUCCCUACCAGAAGGUUCUACCUCCACCGGCUCAGGACCAUAUCUAGACGCUGUGUCCCCUCUGUCCUGA
Non-coding RNA from Lampris incognitus (smalleye Pacific opah), 517 nucleotides. Lineage: Eukaryota; Metazoa; Chordata; Actinopteri; Lampriformes; Lampridae. The record is from the annotation of a RefSeq genome assembly.